GAAAUGCGAUACGUAGUGUGAAUUGCAGAAUUCCGUGAACCAUCGAAUCUUUGAACGCACAUUGCGCUUGAGGCUUCGGCCAAGAGCAUGUCUGCCUCAGCGUCGGGUUAAUAUCGUCCCCUUUUAUCCUCUGGAUAUCAGCUGGGCGGAUCUGGCCAUUCCAGCUAUGCAGCCAGCCUGCGUUAACGCGCAAGCACGGCAGUACGCACCUGGAUUGGCUGAAGAUUAGAGGCAAACCAAGGACCCGUCAAGGGCCGCAACUGGGUGGGCUGUCAAAAGCUAUAUUCUUAGUUGUUGGUCUGGGACUUUGCGUUAAGCCCUCAAACAGGAACCUAUUAACCUAUUUUCUCGACCUGAGCUCAGGCAAGAACACCCGCUGAACUUAA
RNAcentral lists this unclassified non-coding RNA (386 nucleotides) under uncultured fungus. RNAcentral's name for it is "sequence contains ITS1". The stretch from base 1 to 105 matches the Rfam family "5.8S ribosomal RNA", at positions 50 to 154 of the family's 154-position model. The record is from RNAcentral. Lineage: Eukaryota; Fungi.